Molecule: ribosomal RNA, 473 nt
Filed under: uncultured organism
Description: partial 16S ribosomal RNA
Rfam family: Bacterial small subunit ribosomal RNA
Source: RNAcentral
CACUCCUGCGGGAGGCAGCAGUGGGGAAUAUUGCACAAUGGGCGCAAGCCUGAUGCAGCCAUGCCGCGUGUAUGAAGAAGGCCUUCGGGUUGUAAAGUACUUUCAGCGGGGAGGAAGGCGAUAAGGUUAAUAACCUUGUUGAUUGACGUUACCCGCAGAAGAAGCACCGGCUAACUCCGUGCCAGCAGCCGCGGUAAUACGGAGGGUGCAAGCGUUAAUCGGAAUUACUGGGCGUAAAGCGCACGCAGGCGGUCUGUCAAGUCGGAUGUGAAAUCCCCGGGCUCAACCUGGGAACUGCAUUCGAAACUGGCAGGCUAGAGUCUUGUAGAGGGGGGUAGAAUUCCAGGUGUAGCGGUGAAAUGCGUAGAGAUCUGGAGGAAUACCGGUGGCGAAGGCGGCCCCCUGGACAAAGACUGACGCUCAGGUGCGAAAGCGUGGGGAGCAAACAGGAUUAGAUACCCCAGUAGUCCCAU